UGGACGUCUGUCUUGGAACCGAGUCCUUCGCCAACAUUCUCACCGACGCGAUCGUCAUCUUCUUGCUCUGGAAAGAGGAAAAAUCUCUUGGAGUUGACGUGCGUCUGGCACAAAUGACACGAGUCCUGGGAGUGUUCAUUGCAUGGAACGCUAUUGCGCUGCAUGUCUGCGCGUUUGGC
Rhipicephalus microplus (southern cattle tick) is the source of this 179-nucleotide long non-coding RNA. The record is from RefSeq and is a predicted model, not a curated record. NCBI's taxonomy places the organism in Eukaryota, Metazoa, Arthropoda, Arachnida, Ixodida, Ixodidae.